GUCCGGAAUCAUUGGGUGUAAAGGGUGCGUAGGCGGGCGUCUAAGUCUGGGGUGAAAUCUUGCCGCUUAACGGUAAAAUGGCCUUGGAUACUGGGCGUCUUGAGUGUAGAAGAGGUAAGUGGAAUUCGUAGUGUAGCGGUGAAAUGCAUAGAUAUUACGAAGAACAUCAGUGGCGAAGGCGGCUUACUGGUCUACAACUGACGCUGAGGCACGAAAGCGUGGGGAGCGAACAGGAUUAGAUACCCUGGUAGUCCACGCUGUAAACGAUGCAUACUAGGUGUUGGCCUUUCGGGGCCAGUGCUGCAGUUAACGCAUUAAGUAUGCCACCUGGGGAGUACGUCGGCAACGAUGAAACUCAAAGGAAUUGACGGGGGCCCGCACAAGCGGUGGAGCAUGUGGCUUAAUUCGAUGCAACGCGAGGAACCUUACCUGGGCUAAAUCCACAGUGCAACCUCCCGAAAAGGAGGGUCCCUUCGGGGCACUAUGGAAGGUGCUGCAUGGCUGUCGUCAGCU
Molecule: ribosomal RNA, 513 nt
Filed under: Psychroserpens sp.
Lineage: Bacteria; Pseudomonadati; Bacteroidota; Flavobacteriia; Flavobacteriales; Flavobacteriaceae
Description: bacterial SSU rRNA
Rfam family: Bacterial small subunit ribosomal RNA
Source: RNAcentral